GCGCGUUUAGCUCAGUGGUAGAGCGUUUCAUUGACAUUGAAAAGGUCGGAGGUUCAAUCCCUCCAACGCGCACCA
RNAcentral lists this transfer RNA (75 nucleotides) under bacterium. RNAcentral's name for it is "tRNA-Val". It matches the Rfam family "tRNA". Rfam says of the family: Transfer RNA (tRNA) molecules are approximately 80 nucleotides in length. Their secondary structure includes four short double-helical elements and three loops (D, anti-codon, and T loops). Further hydrogen bonds mediate the characteristic L-shaped molecular structure. tRNAs have two regions of fundamental functional importance: the anti-codon, which is responsible for specific mRNA codon recognition, and the 3' end, to which the tRNAs corresponding amino acid is attached (by aminoacyl-tRNA synthetases). tRNAs cope with the degeneracy of the genetic code in two manners: having more than one tRNA (with a specific anti-codon) for a particular amino acid; and 'wobble' base-pairing, i.e. permitting non-standard base-pairing at the 3rd anti-codon position. The record is from RNAcentral.